AACGUAGGAGCCAAGCGUUAUCCGAAUUCACUGGGCGUAAAGCGCACGUAGGCGGCCCAGCAAGUCGGGUGUGAAAGCCCUCGGCUUAACCGAGGAAGUGCAUUCGAAACUACUGAGCUUGAAUACUGGAGAGGAUCGCGGAAUUCCCGGUGUAGAGGUGAAAUUCGUAGAUAUCGGGAGGAACACCAGUGGCGAAGGCGGCGAUCUGGACAGAUAUUGACGCUGAGGUGCGAAAGCGUGGGGAGCAAACAGG
RNAcentral lists this ribosomal RNA (253 nucleotides) under uncultured bacterium. RNAcentral describes it as "partial 16S ribosomal RNA". It matches the Rfam family "Bacterial small subunit ribosomal RNA", at positions 524 to 776 of the family's 1533-position model. The record is from RNAcentral.